GAGUUUGAUCCUGGCUCAGGACGAACGCUGGCGGCGUGCCUAAUACAUGCAAGUCGAGCGCUAGGGGUGCUCCCUUAGGGGAGACCCCCUGGAGCGGCGGACGGGUGAGUAACACGUAGGCAACCUGCCUGUAAGACCGGGAUAACUACCGGAAACGGUAGCUAAGACCGGAUAGGUGAUUUUUCCGCAUGGAGGGAUCAAGAAACACGGUGCAAGCUGUGGCUUACAGAUGGGCCUGCGGCGCAUUAGCUAGUUGGUGGGGUAACGGCUCACCAAGGCGACGAUGCGUAGCCGACCUGAGAGGGUGAUCGGCCACACUGGGACUGAGACACGGCCCAGACUCCUACGGGAGGCAGCAGUAGGGAAUCUUCCGCAAUGGACGCAAGUCUGACGGAGCAACGCCGCGUGAGUGAAGAAGGUUUUCGGAUCGUAAAGCUCUGUUGCCAAGGAAGAACGCCUUGGGGAGUCACUGCCCUGAGGGUGACGGUACUUGAGAAGAAAGCCCCGGCUAACUACGUGCCAGCAGCCGCGGUAAUACGUAGGGGGCAAGCGUUGUCCGGAAUUAUUGGGCGUAAAGCGCGCGCAGGCGGCCGCUUAAGUUUGGUGUAUAAGCCCGGGGCUCAACCCCGGAUCGCACCGAAAACUGGGUGGCUUGAGUGCAGGAGAGGAAAGCGGAAUUCCACGUGUAGCGGUGAAAUGCGUAGAGAUGUGGAGGAACACCAGUGGCGAAGGCGGCUUUCUGGACUGUAACUGACGCUGAGGCGCGAAAGCGUGGGGAGCAAACAGGAUUAGAUACCCUG
This 800-nucleotide ribosomal RNA is filed under the name uncultured bacterium. RNAcentral describes it as "bacterial SSU rRNA". It matches the Rfam family "Bacterial small subunit ribosomal RNA", at positions 9 to 789 of the family's 1533-position model. The record is from RNAcentral.